Xyrauchen texanus (razorback sucker) is the source of this 4552-nucleotide RNA transcript. It is a transcript of the gene named tyrosine-protein phosphatase non-receptor type 11-like, with no coding region annotated. Lineage: Eukaryota; Metazoa; Chordata; Actinopteri; Cypriniformes; Catostomidae. The record is from RefSeq and is a predicted model, not a curated record. The transcript is spliced from 16 exons.
AGUCGGGCGCUGUCUGACGCUCCGGCGCUCGCGUUCAGCUCCGCUGCAGUGACUCGGCGAAGGCAGGAUCACUUUUUUCCACUAACCCCUUCUGUCCGCUCACACACAUCUGACAGCUCCCAGGACGGCCAUGACGUCUCGAAGAUGGUUUCAUCCCAACAUCACUGGGAUCGAGGCAGAACACCUCCUCCUGACACGAGGCGUCCAUGGCAGCUUCCUAGCGAGACCCAGCAAGAGCAACCCAGGAGAUUUCACUGUCUCCGUCAGGAGGAACGAUGAGGUCACCCACAUAAAAAUCCAAAACUCAGGGGACUAUUAUGACCUGUACGGAGGGGAGAAGUUCGCCACACUGACUGAACUGGUGCAGUACUACACCGAGCAGCACGACCUCCUGCGGGAGCGGAACGGAGAUGUCAUCGAGCUCAAAUACCCCUUAAACUGCAAAGAUCCCACAUCAGAGAGGUGGUAUCAUGGGCAUCUCUCGGGUAGAGAUGCUGAAAAGCUCCUUACGGAGAAGGGCAAGUCCGGCAGCUUCCUGGUGAGAGAGAGCCAAAGUAAACCAGGAGACUUUGUGCUUUCUGUCCUCACUUAUGAGGAAAAGCAUGAAAAUGUGGACCGCAAGACUAAAGUCACCCAUGUCAUGAUACGUUAUCAGGAUGGGAAAUAUGAUGUAGGAGGAGGAGAGAGGUUUGACACUUUAGCAGAUUUAGUGGAGCACUAUAAGAAGAACCCAAUGGUGGAGAAGAGUGGAAUUGUUGUGCACCUUAAACAGCCGUUCAAUGCCACAAGGAUAAAUGCAGCAAACAUUGAAAACAGGGUGCGAGAAUUAAAUAAAGUGGCUGACAACUCAGAGAAACCCAAGCAAGGCUUCUGGGAAGAAUUUGAGGUUUUACAGCAGCAAGAAUGUAAACUCCUUUAUCCCAGGAAAGAGGGACAGAGACCAGAAAAUAAAAAUAAGAACCGAUACAAAAACAUUCUACCAUUUGACACCACUCGAGUGCAAAUCAGAGAGGCGGAUCCUGACGUGCCUGGCUCUGAUUAUAUCAAUGCUAACUACAUCCGAAGUGUGCAUGAAGAGGGUCGUCAUAUGGAUGAGGGUAAAGUGUUCAUCGCCACUCAGGGUUGCCUUCAGAACACCGUCAUAGACUUCUGGAAAAUGGUGUACCAGGAAAACACUCAUGUUAUUGUCAUGACGACCAAGGAGAUGGAGAGAGGACGGAAUAAGUGUGUGCGUUACUGGCCGGACUUAAACUCCACUAAGGAGUUUGGGAAGGUGUGUGUGAAGAACAUUGAGGAACAUACAGCUCAAGACUACAUACGACGAGAGCUGGAGGUCACAUGUCUAGACAUGCGAGAGCCUCCCAGAUGUAUUUGGCACUAUCAGUACCUGAGCUGGCCUGAUCAUGGUGUUCCCAAUGAACCUGGAGGGGUGCUGAGCUUCUUGGAGCAAGUUAACAGGACCCAGAGUGCCAUUCCAGAGAGUGGACCUAUAGUAGUUCACUGCAGUGCAGGGAUUGGAAGAACAGGCACAAUUAUUGUGAUUGACAUCCUUAUCGAUAUCAUAAACAGACAAGGAUUGGAUUGCGACAUUGACAUCCCAAAGACCAUUCAGAGAGUGCGGCAGCAGCGAUCCGGUAUGGUGCAGACUGAAGCCCAGUACAAGUUCAUCUACAUGGCUGUUCAGCAAUACAUCGACACUGCUCAGAAGAGACUGGAAGAGGAGCAGAGGAAUAAAACAAAGGAGAGAGAAUACUCUAAUAUCAAAUACCCACAGAUGACAAAUGCCAGAACCAAGCCAAACAUUGGCUCAUCUCGGCCUUCAUCCGUAAUGAACGAUGACUCUGGUGUGUACGAGAAUUUAAACAUCAAGAAUCCAAAGGGCUCUGCAAGCAGUAACACCAGGAGAUAAGCCAUGUGGGCUGCUGUCUUAGGAACUCUGGGAGUAUGUUUUUCAGCCCUUCUCACAAACACACCACAAUGUGACUGCAUUGAUGCAGCCCAAGUUCUAACAGAGGUGCUUUGUCAAAGCACCUGACCAUGGAGUGACUCUGAAGGGGAUUGGUAGCGCCUACUGUCCGCUGAAGCCAACUAUGCCCGGCUUCAAGCUGGAGAUUCCACCGAAAUCUCAAUAGCUACUCUCUUAUUCCCCUGCCUCCCAUCUCAGCCUGAUUGACUGUCUGAGAAGCUCACACUCCCAACACCAAGUGCCUGAUCUGCAGCCCAAACUGUUCCACAGAGAGGACAUGUGACUUGGUGCUUUCUCUCCCCAUUUGUAGUCUAAUAAUUCUCAAAUCUGCACUAAGCUACAUGUUUAUUUGUAUAGGUGUGAAAUAUAUUAAAUAGGAAUAUUUACACUCAGUGACGUAAAUUGGAUGAAGCUAUGCUCUUUCCAUGUGCUCUACGGCUGUUUCUUUGUCUACUGGAUGUCGUCUACUGUAACCAAAGACCUUUGCUAGAUCUCUUAGUAUUUCAUGAGCAACAAUCAUUAGCACUGUGUUGAGUGAUGCUCGUGGCUUGGUGAUGUAAGAAGAACAGAACUACACCACCUGUGCCAGCCCCUCAAGAAUCACCUCUGGAGUAACCUGGAGUGAUGGUUGCUCUGAGUGUUUGCUCAAUGUACGACCAGUGAAUUGGAUAGCUAGUAAGCAGGUGUUUUAAAUGGACUGAUUUGGUACAGUGUUGUAGGAUUUACACAGUAUGUGCCAAUUAGCAGCAUGUGCAUCAUGUCUGUGGAAGCUUCUGCUUUUGAUGCUAUUUUAUUGAGUGUUACCUCCAAGCUAAUGAAAAUGUGGAGGGAAAUCAAGUGCUACUGUGUCUGGUUCCUCCCACUAGGCUACGUUUUAGGCUUUUUGUUCCUAAAAUCAUCAGGGAAGCCUUCAGUAUUAGAGUUUUGGGAUAAUUUGUUUUUGUGUGUAUUAGUUUUUUAUGUUAAUACUGAUUUUAUUUGCAUCUAGGAUUCCUUUUAGAAAGUUUUAUCUUUUGUUGUGAUAUUUGUGAAUGUGAUUAUGAAAUCUAGCUAUUAUGCAGAUAUGUUUGAAAAGGAGAAUUUAUUGGGUUAUUCCAAAUUGUCCAGUCCUUUCAGACUUAUAAACAGGAUAUGUUUGCAUAAAGAAUUUAUAAAUAGAUUUAUCAAAUUGCAGGUUGUAAAUGAAAAACGUGGUAUUUCUACUAAACCUCUGCAAGGGGGUGUAUGUCAGGAUGUCGGCCAAACCAUUGACGUGAACAGCCUUCGCUUGAGACUUUAGCUAAAUAUGGGCAAGCCAGAUGGCCCUUGGCCAAGAUUAAAGAAUAGAUUUGUGUAGGGGGGUGAAAAAAACUAAUUUAAAAGAUUAAUUUCAGAUGUGGCUAUUAUUGGUUUACAUCAACAUCUCUGGUGAUGUCACCAGUUGUCAUAGGUCCUGGUAGAUGAGUUCAGCUGGACAUGCGUGUUGGAUAAGAUAAAUCAGGGCAUGAUGUGUCUGAUUAAUCGCAGCAUCUGACUGUGAAAGUGGCAAUAGUGUUCGCAUGACAGGUUUUAUGAUGUCAUGAGCAGAAGAGUUGUGGAAUGUGGUUCGAGGGUGGACUGGGUCUGUUUUUCCGUGGAUGGUUUUACUAAGUUGGAAGGACAAGAUGUUUGGAGAAGUUUUAAUUUUUGAUAGAUCACCUCGGAAGUGUAAAAGCAAGGUUUUAUCACUGCUUAUGAUAAUCACAUAAUAAUACAUGUUAAAUCUGUUUUAAGCUGUCUAAGAGUACUGUUACAGUGGAAGGAACAUAUGAAUGUGCUGUCCUUUGAGUGAAGACUGAAUGAAUUUGAAUCUGUGAUUUAUGUACCAGAUCGUGUGAGUUUAUUAUCCUUGAAUGCUUGGAAGAUUUUUGUCUGAUCUUCCUGUUUUAUUUAGUUUUAUUUUUAACUCUGCCUCUAUGAAAAAGUGUAAGGGGUCAAUAUUUUGAGUGUGAGAUAUGUAGAGUUCAGUACUUGAAAUUUAUUUUGAAUCUCUGCUGAUAGGUUUUGUAUACGGCUGUUAGAAUGUUCUGUGUUUAGAAAUAUUUGACUUUUUUUUUUGUCUUUGGUGUUUGCCAUUAAUGUGGUAUUUUGCGUUAUAUAUCCGUUGUUUUCUUGUUUUUGCUCAAUUAUUGAUCUGGUGUAAAUUGUACAUUUCAGUUGUUUGUUAAUACAUAGAUGGAAAUAUUCACAGCUAAAUUUUGCAUAUUAUUUUAAAAUGCUUUAACUAUUAUUAUUAUUAAUAAUAAUAAUAAUGAUGUUGCCUAUGAAGCUACAGUAUCAGCUUGCUUAAUCGCAAUUUAAAGUCUUCUCUUUACAUUUACUUGAAUACUAUGUUAGUGGGUCUUUUUUAAUCAAAUGUUUUUUCUGGUGGUGAUCAGUAUUGAUCUGAAUAGUGUUGUGCUGAUUUCGUGUGGUAAAGACUGUGUUCCCUCUUGCACCAGUUCAGCCUAAAAUGCCUUCUGCCCUGGCAAAUACAGCUGAUAUACGUCUCUAAUGACGAUAAAAGAUUAGAUGUUGAAUAAUAAAGCAUACACUGGGAAAUUUCACCUAACGUUGUCUUUGACUCAG